CAGUAGCCGCGGGAAUACAGAGGGUGCGAGCGUUAAUCGGAUUUACUGGGCGUAAAGCGUGCGUAGGCGGCUUUUUAAGUCGGAUGUGAAAUCCCUGAGCUUAACUUAGGAAUCGCAUUCGAUACUGGGAAGCUAGAGUAUGGGAGAGGAUGGUAGAAUUCCAGGUGUAGCGGUGAAAUGCGUAGAGAUCUGGAGGAAUACCGAUGGCGAAGGCAGCCAUCUGGCCUAAUACUGACGCUGAGGUACGAAAGCAUGGGGAGCAAACAGGAUUAGAUACCCGUGUAGUCCCUGUCUCUUAUAC
This 301-nucleotide ribosomal RNA is filed under the name uncultured bacterium. RNAcentral's name for it is "partial 16S ribosomal RNA". It matches the Rfam family "Bacterial small subunit ribosomal RNA", at positions 509 to 807 of the family's 1533-position model. The record is from RNAcentral.